GAGUUUGAUCGUGGCUCAGAUUGAACGCUGGCGGAAUGCUUUACACAUGCAAGUCGAGCGGCAGCGCGGGGCAACCUGGCGGCGAGCGGCGAACGGGUGAGUAAUGCAUCGGAACAUGUCCAUGUCGUGGGGGAUAGCCCGGCGAAAGCCGGAUUAAUACCGCAUACGCCCGAGAGGGGAAAGCCGGGGACCGCAAGGCCUGGCGCGAUUGGGUUGGCCGAUGUCCGAUUAGCUAGUUGGCGGGGUAAGAGCCCACCAAGGCGAUGAUCGGUAGCUGGUCUGAGAGGAUGAUCAGCCACACUGGGACUGAGACACGGCCCAGACUCCUACGGGAGGCAGCAGUGGGGAAUUUUGGACAAUGGGGGCAACCCUGAUCCAGCCAUUCCGCGUGAGUGAAGAAGGCCUUCGGUUGUAAGCUCUUU
RNAcentral lists this ribosomal RNA (422 nucleotides) under uncultured beta proteobacterium. Its description in RNAcentral is "bacterial SSU rRNA". It matches the Rfam family "Bacterial small subunit ribosomal RNA", at positions 9 to 436 of the family's 1533-position model. Lineage: Bacteria; Pseudomonadati; Pseudomonadota; Betaproteobacteria. The record is from RNAcentral.